RNAcentral lists this long non-coding RNA (4276 nucleotides) under Podarcis lilfordi (Lilford's wall lizard). Lineage: Eukaryota; Metazoa; Chordata; Lepidosauria; Squamata; Lacertidae. The record is from RNAcentral.
AGAGAGCGCGUGUUCCCGGCUAGAGGCGCGGAGCUGGCGGAGGGGCCGAAGCGGGCCCGGUCUCUCCGGAGGCGGGAGCGGGGGGUGGCCCGGGGCGGAGCCGGAGUCUGCAACUCCGACGGGAGGCUAAGGUGGUCAUUUGGGGUCACCAGGGCCCAUUUAAAGGGAAUCAUCAGGAAAGCCUCAGCCGGAGCCCUCGGCGUUGUUCCACAGCAUCUCCGACGAGCGCGGCGGUGCUGCAAACUUGAGCAAUUCGCCUUUCUGCUCGCUGCAAGCCUCCCCUAUGCAGGCCCGUCUCUGCUUCUCGCGGAUCCCCCACCCGCUGCCAGCAGUGCAGGGAGGGCACAAGGUGCAGAUGUACCCCGCUGCCCCGGGUGCGUCUGAGCCUUAGCAGGUAACCUUAACUCAUCACGUCUCCGCGGGGAUGUUAAACAACUGACACCGGAGUGUUGUGGUGCUCCGACAUAGAAUGGUGAAAUCUCUGUAUAAUGUAUAAGCAUCUUGUAAAUUAAGUUUUCAUGUAUCUGAAAAUACCUAUUGCCAACAAUACAAUCGAAUGGGGAUUUUUUUUGGGGGGGGAAUCAUAUACCUACUGCAGUAUAAAAUUAAUAAGGGAGGGGCAUCGUUAUAGAUCUAAAAGGUGCGUGAAGUUGCAUUUUAACAGGAAAUAAAAGACUAUCUGGAAACGAUCAAAUUAUAUAUUUAGAAAAAACUCAUUUUGGUAAUUUUUCAAAUGUUUUUUAAUGUUGUUAGUUAUCUAGCAGAUUAGUUGGAAUAAUUAUUCUUAACCCCAAAAUUAGAAAUUUGUAUGCUGUGUGUUCUAAAUGUGGUUACAACUGCAGUCCAAACUUGGGACUGAAUAAGCGGCAAAGCACUGGCCAAUCGCAAGAGGAGUCUGUCACUUGCAGCCAUGAUCUGGUCCUGACAUGCAGCAUGGUAAUGUUAACCUCUUCAGGAAGCACCUAGGAGGGAGGGGUGUGUGGAAUAGAGAUUAAGGCUGGAAUGGAGUUUUGAAAGUGUACAGUACUGGUAGCCCUAGUGGUGUGGAGUGGAAGUGCCAUUUGGGUAGCAAGUAUCUACCCAAUUGUGUUUAAAACAUGUGCUGCCUUUUUUAACAUGUACAGUUAAAAAACAUAGGUGCCACUGAUAACUCUGUUGCAUAGCACUUGCUACGUAACAGAACCCUGGGCUAUGUGAUAUCUUGACACCUGAAAUUUACUAAGGGUUUGGCUGCCAGAGCUGACACUGGAAGGAACUGCAUGCAUCAGAGCAAUAAAGGAGAAUUGUAAAUCACGCCUACAACAUGUGAAGCAGCCCCAAGUGAACUCAAACUAGUGGCAGAUGUUUACUAGGAAGAACAAUAGCUCCAUGUCACACUGAUCUUUACAAAAUAAAACCAUUCUCCCAAACCAGUGCUUCAGGUAACAGAGGUACAAUUUAGAAGUAUCAUGAAAAUGCAAAAGAGCAAUGAUGUCUAUUGGGUCUUACAGAUAUACUGAGUGAAAGCAGAAAAGUGAUCACUAAUGAGAAAAUAGAUGCCUAUAAUGAAGUAGCAAUCACCAUCCUGAACAGCAGCUCAAAAAAAGAGAGCAAAAGCUAAAGUAAUUUUUUCCAGUGUAAUAAUAAUAAUGCAAUACAGUAUAUAUUAACAAGCUAGAAGAAAAGCAAGAGUCUGCCCAGAAAGAACUGCUGUAUAUUGUACUCUUGGAAUUAUGAACGGCCUGGGAGGGCCAUGUUUUCAUGGGUGUGCUGACCUUUUGGUAUACAGCAGAGGGCACUGUCCCUUCACUUCUGGCAACAUUAAUACAACUUGCCUUACUAGCGUAUCUUUCAGCCUUCAUUAAUUUUAUGGACAUUGGCCAAAUGCAGACUGAAGUAUUAGAGUCUUGUCCCUUCCAUUUUGGGAAGCAGCUGGCUAUUUUGAAAUGCACUAUUUCGUACAAAAUGAGCAGAAAUUAGCUAUUUUGUACGAAAGGUGUUUCAAAAGACAUUUUUGGAUCUACACAUGCCUCCUAAUGGCCCAAUUGAUUUUAUUUCAAUAUCUGCUUUUUGCCAGUGCCUUCAAAUUCUUUCAGGCUAUGUGAUCUUCAUCACCAGCUUCUCUUCAGUGCUUCCUGCUAGCCCAGCCAUCCACCUUCUCCUGAAAGAGCAACUCUAGGGGCUCAUCCGCAUGGGAAUUUAAUGUGGAUUUGAAACUGCAUGUGCCUUGGUUUUGGGGCGUUGUCCACAUGACGUUCUCCCCAUUCAACUGACAGCCUAUGGUUCUUCAACGCUAAACUUGGAUUUUCAUGAUCAAGGUGAAAGCCAAAAUGGGAGAGUAAUUUCAAUAUAAAAUUGUUUGUUUCCUGAUUGUGAAUGCACCUGGAGCACAUUUUGUGGGUGGGCCUUCGACAUGUUUCUCUGGUGCCAUCUAUUGCCACCAUCCACCCACUUCCAUUUUGCUUCCAUCAGCUGAUAUGGAAGGAUGCAUGCUCCCAGUAUCAUUGUUUUUGAAAUUUUAAAACAUCUGUUUUGCACAGAAGAGAUCUUGCACAAAACAGCUGUAUUAAAAAUAAAAAUUGCCCUUGCAAGUAGAGGAGGCGGUGAAGGAAUAGGGGAGGAAAGGAAGCAGCAGCCUUUCAUGUGAGUGACUCCAAAUCCUUGCUGGGCUUGGAACAGCAGAGGUCUUAAAAAAUAUUUUUACAGUUUUGUGCAAAUCUGGAAUGUUAGGAAACUUGUAUUUCAAAUAUACAUCCCAGGAAGCACCAAGAUAGAUUUUGAAAGUACCUACUCCUGUGUGGACAAAGGCACACAAACCUGCACACAGAAACAGUGACCCAAAUGCGCAGGAAUGUGUGGACACAGUCUGCUUCUUUUUGUUCUGAAUAUGAUAACCAACUUGAUAGAACAACAGUUUUUCAGAGACCCUAGUUUGAAAAAUGUUUGUGCAGUGACUUGUCUCCAACUUCUCUGUAGCAAUGCUUCCCAAUAGACCUCUGGACUUUCAUAGCUUCUUUCCUCCAAACAAAAACAAAGCUUUUAUUUUUCAUCCCUAAGUGUUUAUCUGAAACUGUCCCAUAAUGAUUACAUCCCGGUCAUAUUACCAAUUGGCUAUAUACCUAUCACAUUUCUCUGUAGUAACGACUACAUGAAGACAUCUUUAAUGCUUCAGUAAAACAAAUACAUCCAAUAGGCUGCCUUUAAACUCUGAGUUGCCAUCACCUUGUGACAAGCUGUAUCCUACCCAACUGUAUGAUUCUUCCCGGACUCACAUUUAGUUUAGAAGGGUACAGUAAGUGUCAUUGACAAUAGGAGUGACUCCCAAGCAGACUAAGGCAUAGAAUCUUAGAGUAGGAAGGGGCCCAAGGGUCAUCUAGUCCAACCCCCUGCAAUGCAGGAAUCUCAGCUAAAGUAUCCGUGACAGAUGGUCAUCCAAUCUCUGCUUUAAAACUUCCAAGGAAGGAGAGUCCACCACCUCUCGUGUGAGUCUGUUCCACUGUCAAACAGCUCUUACUGUCAGAAAGUUUUUUCGAAUGUUUAGUCAGAAUCUCCUUUCUUGUAACUUGAAGCCAUUGCCUCAAGUUCUACCCUCCAGAGCAAGAGAAAACAAGCAUGCUCCCUCUUCCAUAUGACAGAACUUCAGAUAUUUGAAGAUGGCUAUCAUAUCUCCUCUCAGUCUCCUCCAGGCUAAACAUACCCAGCUACUUCAAGCGUUCCUCAUAAGACUUAGUUUCCAGACACUUGAUCAUCUUGGUUGUCCUCUUCUGCACAAAUUACAGCUUGUCAACAGCCUUCUUAAAUUGUGGUGCCCAGAACUGGACACAGUACUCCAGGUGUGGUUUGACCAAGGCAGAGUAGAGUAGUACUAUUACUUCCUUUGAUCUGGACACUAGACUUCUGUUGAGGCAGCCUAGAAUAGUGUUAUCUUUUUUUGAUGCUGCAUCACACUAUUGUCAUGUCUUAAGAGCUGCUUCAGGCUCCCUCUGCUGAAUGAACAAAGCAAAUAUUUGUUGUUUUUAAAAGUGAUUGGUAGCUAUUUUGAAAGAGGGGGCUGUCAGUAAGCAAGGACAGGCCUACCCCUCUAGACGUGUGAGGAUAGUAUUGCUGACCAGGAUGGCUGUAGAUAAUUGAAGAUGCAUCACAGCAGUUUCAGCUGGAUGCCAAAGGUGGCAAUAAGCAGAAUUGUCGCAGGAAAUGUUGCAGGCAUAUGUUAACCACCAGAGGGCUUACCUUGCAGGAAAUGGGAAAAAAGAGAGUGGAAGAACACCAUACGAACAUAAUAAAGUCAUACCUCAUG